AGAGCGAACGCUGGCGGCAGGCUUAACACAUGCAAGUCGAGCGCCCCGCAAGGGGAGCGGCAGACGGGAGAGUAACACGUGGGAACGUACCUUUCGGUUCGGAACAACCCAGGGAAACUUGGGCUAAUACCGGAUACGUCCGUAAGGAGAAAGAUUUAUCGCCGAAAGAUCGGCCCGCGUCUGAUUAGCUAGUUGGUGAGGUAACGGCUCACCAAGGCGACGAUCAGUAGCUGGUCUGAGAGGAUGAUCAGCCUCACUGGGACUGAGACACGGCCCAGACUCCUACGGGAGGCAGCAGUGGGGAAUAUUGGACAAUGGGCGCAAGCCUGAUCCAGUCAUGCCGCGUGGGUGAUGAAGGCCCUAGGGUUGUAAAGCCCUUUCGGGCGGGAAGAUAAUGACGGUACCCGCAGAAGAAGCCCGGCUAACUUCGCGCCAGCAGCCGC
This 443-nucleotide ribosomal RNA is filed under the name uncultured bacterium. RNAcentral's name for it is "SSU rRNA". It matches the Rfam family "Bacterial small subunit ribosomal RNA", at positions 26 to 518 of the family's 1533-position model. The record is from RNAcentral.